Molecule: non-coding RNA, 955 nt
Organism: Chlorocebus sabaeus (green monkey)
Lineage: Eukaryota; Metazoa; Chordata; Mammalia; Primates; Cercopithecidae
Source: RefSeq, a predicted model, not a curated record
AUGAAUGAAAAUCUGUUAACUUCAUUUAUUGCCCCAACAAUUUUAGGUCUACCUGCUGUAGUGCCAAUCAUCUUAUUUCCCUCCAUACUAAUUCCAAUGUCCAAGCACCUUAUCGACAAUUGGCUAAUUGCUAUUCAGCAAUGAUUAGUUCAACUUAUCCUAAAACAAAUAAUAAUAAUGCAUAGUGUUAAAGGACGAACCUGAUCCCUUAUACUAAUAUCCCUAAUUAUCUUUAUUACCACAACGAAUCUCCUCAGAUUCUUGCCUCACUCAUUUACACCAACCACUCAGUUAUCUAUAAAUCUAGCCACAGCAAUCCCCCUAUGGGCAGGAACAGUAAUUACAGGCUUUCGCUUUAAAACCAAAAACUCCUUGGCUCACUUUUUACCACAAGGCACGCCCACACCCCUUAUCCCCAUACUAGUAGUCAUUGAAACCAUUAGCCUAUUUAUUCAACCAAUAGCCCUGGCUGUAUGCCUAACGCUAAUAUCACAGCAGGCUACCUACUUGUGCACCUGAUUGGAAGUGCCACACUAGCACUAUGAACCAUUAGUCUCCCCACAACUUCGAUUGUCUUUAUAAUUUUAAUCCUAUUGACUAUCCUCGAGAUCGCUGUUGCCCUAAUCCAAGCCUAUGUUUUUACACUCUUAAUAAGCCUCUACUUACAUGACAACACUUAAUGACCCACCAAUCACAUGCCUACCACAUAGUUAAACCCAGUCCCUGACCUCUAACAGGGGCCCUUUCAGCCCUCCUAAUAACGUCUGACUUGGCCAUAUGAUUUCACUUCUACUCUGCCACCCUGCUAACACUAGGCCUACUAAUCAACACACUAAUCCAUAUAUCAAUGAUGGCAUGACAUGGUCCGAGAGACCACAUACCAAGGCCAUCACACAGUACCUGUCCAAGAAGGCCUCCAAUACAGAAUAGUUUUAUUCAUUAUUUCAGAAGUCUC